This 418-nucleotide ribosomal RNA is filed under the name uncultured bacterium. Its description in RNAcentral is "bacterial SSU rRNA". It matches the Rfam family "Bacterial small subunit ribosomal RNA", at positions 43 to 453 of the family's 1533-position model. The record is from RNAcentral.
UAGGCCUAACACAUGCAAGUCGAGGGGCAGCAUAAAACAAGCUUGCUUGUUUGGUGGCGACCGGCGCACGGGUGCGUAACGCGUAUGCAACCUACCUUAUACAGGGGUAUAGCCCGGAGAAAUUCGGAUUAAUCCCCCAUAGUACUGAGCCACCGCAUGGUGAAUCAGUUAAAGUUUCGGCGGUAUAAGAUGGGCAUGCGUCCUAUUAGCUAGAUGGUAAGGUAACGGCUUACCAUGGCUACGAUAGGUAGGGGGCCUGGGAGGGUGGUCCCCCACACUGGUACUGAGACACGGACCAGACUCCUACGGGAGGCAGCAGUGAGGAAUAUUGGUCAAUGGGCGCAAGCCUGAAAAGGCCAUGCCGCGUGCAGGAAGAAUGCCCUAUGGGUUUAAGGUGCUUUUAUUGGGGAUAACCUCC